This 305-nucleotide ribosomal RNA is filed under the name uncultured bacterium. Its description in RNAcentral is "bacterial SSU rRNA". It matches the Rfam family "Bacterial small subunit ribosomal RNA", at positions 335 to 657 of the family's 1533-position model. The record is from RNAcentral.
CUUCCUACGGGAGGCAGCAGUGGGGAAUAUUGCACAAUGGGGGAAACCCUGAUGCAGCGACGCCGCGUGAGUGAGGAAGUAUUUCGGUAUGUAAAGCUCUAUCAGCAGGGAAGAAAAUGACGGUACCUGACUAAGAAGCCCCGGCUAACUACGUGCCAGCAGCCGCGGUAAUACGUAGGGGGCAAGCGUUAUCCGGAUUUACUGGGCGUAAAGGGAGCGUAGACGGAGGAGCAAGUCUGAUGUGAAAAUCCGGGGCCCAACCCCGGAACUGCAUUGGAAACUGUUAUUCUAGAGGAUGGGAGAGG